AGUGAACGCUGGCGGUAGGCCUAACACAUGCAAGUCGAACGGCAGCACAGUAAGAGCUUGCUCUUACGGGUGGCGAGUGGCGGACGGGUGAGGAAUACAUCGGAAUCUACUUUUUCGUGGGGGAUAACGUAGGGAAACUUACGCUAAUACCGCAUACGACCUACGGGUGAAAGCAGGGGAUCUUCGGACCUUGCGCGAUUGAAUGAGCCGAUGUCGGAUUAGCUAGUUGGCGGGGUAAAGGCCCACCAAGGCGACGAUCCGUAGCUGGUCUGAGAGGAUGAUCAUCCACACUGGAACUGAGCCCCGGUCCAGACUCCUACGGGAGGCAGCAGUGGCGAAUAUUGGACACUGGGCGCGAGCCUGCUCCAGCCCUACCGCGUCGGUGAGGAAGGCCUUCGGGUUGUAAAGCCCUUUUGUUGGGAAAGAAAAGCAGCAGGUUAAUACCCCGCUGUUCUGACGGUACCCAAUGAAUAAGCACCGGCUAACUUCGUG
This 492-nucleotide ribosomal RNA is filed under the name uncultured bacterium. RNAcentral describes it as "partial 16S ribosomal RNA". It matches the Rfam family "Bacterial small subunit ribosomal RNA", at positions 29 to 507 of the family's 1533-position model. The record is from RNAcentral.